This 570-nucleotide ribosomal RNA is filed under the name uncultured Fusobacterium sp. RNAcentral's name for it is "partial 16S ribosomal RNA". It matches the Rfam family "Bacterial small subunit ribosomal RNA", at positions 1 to 776 of the family's 1533-position model. Lineage: Bacteria; Fusobacteriati; Fusobacteriota; Fusobacteriia; Fusobacteriales; Fusobacteriaceae. The record is from RNAcentral.
AAAACAAAAAAGAUCUCGCAUAACUAGAGGCUAAUGAGAACAACACAUAACUUACAAAGAGCCAUCUUUUUGGGAGGCUCAUUAGGGUAUUCGCCCCCCCCCGCCAUCCGCCCCGGUCCAGGCCUCCCCCUCCGCCAUCAAUGAGAAUAUUGGACAAUGGGGGUAAGCGGACUCAGACAUCGAAGGGCUGGACGAUUGCCUGUGGGUUUUAAACCGCUUUUUAAAAAGGAUUACCCUCUCUCGAGAGAAUAGCUGCAGGGUGCGUUAGGGAUGAGCUUCAGCCACCUUCGUGCCCAGUCGCCCCGGUAAUACGGGCGGGUCCACGAGUUAUUCGGGAUUUUUUUGGUUUAAACGGGUCCGUUAGUGGGGCUGAUAAGCUCUGCGGUGAAAUCAUGCAGCUUUCACUGUUGGUAUGCCGUCGAAACUUUUAGUCUUGAGUGUAUUGGAAGUGGCUGGAAUAAGUAGUGCAGCCGGUAAAAUGCAUUUCUUUUUUCCUAGAAUCCCAAUUCCGCAGCCAGAUCACUAGUUCACAUUUGCCGCUGAGGGACGAAAGCGUGGUGAGCGAUCAGG